RNAcentral lists this ribosomal RNA (504 nucleotides) under uncultured Rhodanobacter sp. Its description in RNAcentral is "bacterial SSU rRNA". It matches the Rfam family "Bacterial small subunit ribosomal RNA", at positions 382 to 878 of the family's 1533-position model. The record is from RNAcentral. Lineage: Bacteria; Pseudomonadati; Pseudomonadota; Gammaproteobacteria; Lysobacterales; Rhodanobacteraceae.
CCUGAUCCAGCAAUGCCGCGUGAGUGAAGAAGGCCUUCGGGUUGUAAAGCUCUUUUAUCAGGAACGAAUCUGCAUGCUUAAUACGUGUGGCCUCUGACGGUACCUGACGAAUAAGCACCGGCUAACUUCGUGCCAGCAGCCGCGGUAAUACGAAGGGUGCAAGCGUUAAUCGGAAUUACUGGGCGUAAAGGGUGCGUAAGCGGUUCGUUAAGUCUGUCGUGAAAUCCCCGGGCUCAACCUGGGAAUGGCGAUGGAUACUGGCGAGCUAGAGUGUGUCAAAGGAUGGUGGAAUUCCCGGUGUAGCGGUGAAAUGCGUAAAGAUCGGGAGGAACAUCAGUGGCGAAGGCGGCCAUCUGGAACAACACUGACGCUGAAGCACAAAAGCGUGGGGAGCAAACAGGAUUAAAUACCCUGGUAGUCCACGCCCUAAACGAUGCGAACUGGAUGUUGGUCUCAACUCGGACAUCACUGUCGAAGCUAACGCGUUAAGUUCGCCGCCUGGGG